CUUUUUGUUGUUGUUGUUGUUGUUGUUGCUAUUUCUUGGGCCACUCCCGCGGCAUAUGGAGGUUCCCAGGCUAGGGGUUGAAUCGGAGCUGUAGCCACCGGCCUAAGCCAGAGCCACAGCAACGUGGGAUCCGAGCCGCGUCUGCAACCUACACCACAGCUCAGGGCAACGCCGGAUCGUUAACCCACUGAGCAAGGGCAAGGACCGAACCCGCAACCUCAUGGUUCCUAGUCGGAUUCGUUAACCACUGCGCCACGACGGGAACUCCGGAAUGAUGUAUCUUUAUAGGGAUGCAGUUAGGAGUUUAUUAACUGCUUUUUGGAAGUCAGUGUAGGAGUAGGUAGUGUUGAUGUGUUUGGUGCGGGUUGUUUCCUUAACUGUUUUAGUUAACCAGCCACAGCAACAACCAGAAACACACGAAUUAGGAAUUUGUCUUAGGUAUUCAGGUAUGAGAGUGGCUCUACUCAAAGUUUGGCUUAACUGCUUGGUGGCAAGUUGAAGUGCUCCAUUUAAAGUGGCAUGAUCUCUAGAAAGCCAGCUGGGAUUCAUAAGGGGCUUCUGAAAAGGUGGGACGCCCCAAGAAGCCAGAGGAGGCCAUUCGGAAAUUGGUUCCAGUUUGGGUACACAAUGGGAACAAUGGGAGAGUCUUAGACCUAUCCCUCGAAGUAUAUGGACUGGUGUGCUAGCAUCCAAGAGUUUAGCAUGUUAUAACCAGGAAUUACGAUUUAAAGGUUUCCAAGUUGUAGAAUAUUUUAAAAGGCACUUAACCUGCCAGGCAAGACUCUCCAGAGGUGUUAGGCAGGACACCACAGGGUCCUCUUCUUCAGAGGAAUCCCUCUCUUCUCCAGAACUCUCAUUUAGGUAGUUAGCGUUUUCUUCUUCCUCACUUUCUGAUUCUGAUAAUGGGUCAGGAGAGGGAUUUCUAGGACCCAUUAGAAGAGAACAACAGUAUAGAAAAAAGGAACCAGAAGAAGGAAACAAUCCAGGCCAGCAAAACACUAACAUUGGCCAAUAGAAGCAAAAGAUGAAAAAAUCCCUUCAGUAAGAUUCAUUUGUCUGUUUCUCAGUCCAUUACACACACACACUAUGCCUCUGGCUUGCAAUAAUGUGCAGUUCUUCAAGAUUAUGUUGUAUAUUCUUCAUUUACAAAGAAGACAGUUCAGUUCUCAGGACCAGUUCAGGGUGUAAGAGUUAGUUACUCACCAGUGGUACGGGUCAGUCUCUCCUUCAAAUCCUGGCUACCCAAGAAGAGAAAGGGCUCUCAUCUAGGCAAGCUGAUUUCUUGGCAGGGUCUCAAUUGGUUGUGAUAUUAAGAAGAGACACUUUGUGUACUCUUUUGUUGGCAGGGAUAUUAUAUUUAUUUGGUAACAAAAAGAAAUUCAGUGGUCACCUCCUUUGUCUGCUGGUGCAGCAACUUUUAUGCAGGGGGAUGGUGAGAUGAGUUGCCAAGGAUCUGUCUGGAGUACAUGGAUCUGAUGUUUUCCAUUGAUGGUGCAAGUGCCCUUGGAAACUGGUGACUUAGUUGUUGGAUUAUCUGGAAAAGUAGCCUUAACCUGUGAAUGAGAAGACUAGAAACAUGAUAUUAAAGUCUGAAUGCACUGGGUAACGUUAUUAUCCAUCUAACUUCAUAGAGUAUCUAAGCACAUUAAUGCUGAGCAAGAAGCCUUAUUGGUUUUCCUGUUUCUAGCGCACAGUCUUAGGCAGAAUUUCAUACUGGGAAUGGCUCCUGACAUGACAAAAUUGAGGAGAGCCUGAGGCCACACUAAUACUUAACUGGCACAUAUUUGGGCCAGUUUGUUUAUUCUGCACUUCUAGCCUAGAAAAUUUGUUCUGCAGCAAAAGCAGAUCUCUUAUGCUCCCAACUCCAAACAGUGAGCUACGAAAGGUAUCUUUAUGUCUUUAGAGGUGCCUGUUGAGAUUUUAGUUUUAGGGAAACUGUCCCAGUUCUAGAGCUGCUAGAUGUUAGACCUCUUGCUGGGACUCCAGAGAUUGUGGUCCGAUGACCAUACUUUAUAGAUAUGAGAGAAGAUGGAGGUAUAAACCUUAAGUAGCAGGAAUUACAAUGAAUGUAAACAGCUUAAAUUCACAACUAAAAGCAGACACUUAGAAUGUAUUAACACAACAAAAAAAGAUUCAACAAUAUGCUAACAAAAGACAAUUUAAAGCAAAAGGACACGGUUAAAAAUAAAAAGAUGUAAAAAGAUAUAUCAGAUAACUGCGGACCAGCAUAAAGCUGGAAUAGUAAUCUUUACAUCUUAAGAUUUCAGGCCAAAAAAUAUAAGGGAUGAAAAUGGAUGAUAAUACUGGCAAAAGGAAAAGAAUAAAAGUGAAACACUCAUCAUAAACAUCUAUGAACCUAAAAGCACAUCCUCAACAUUUUUCAAAUAACAACUAAUAGAACUGAGGGGGGACUACAAGCAGGGAUAUAAGCAUCCUGAAAAAGUUAAAAUAUUAAUAUACUUUAGGUAUUAUAUUAUUUAAGUAUACAAAACUCUAUACCAAACAGAAUAUACUUGAGUACACACAUAUACACACAAAUACUUUAUGCAUUAGGGUGUAUGUAUAACUAGAUUCCAAAGGGUCAAUUUUAUUUAGAUUAAAUUCUCUGAGCAAAAUGCAAAAAAAGUAGAUAUUAAAGGUUAGUUAAAAGUAAUCCUACGAUAGGAAACUAAAUGACUCAUGGAUUAAUAAAAUGGAAAUCAUGAAAGACAUUAAAUAUAAAACUGAAUAAUAAUAUAACCCUACAAGGCAAAAUUUGUGGGGCAUGGCCAAACCAGUUUCUAGAAGAAAUUUAUAGCUUUGAAUACACUGAUGUGGAAACAAAGAAGUUUAAAUACCUACAAGUUAAGCAUUUAAUUCAGAUAAUGGAAAAGAGCAUCAGCAAAAUAAGAGAAAGGAAAUAAUAAAGGCAGAAAUUAAAUAGCAUAAAAUAGAGUGAUAGAGACAAAACUGAAAGACAGUUUUCCAAAAAUAUGAAUAAGUAGAACAAAACUGGUGAGACUUAUCAAGAAAGAGAUUUGGAGUUCCCGUCAUGGCACAGAGGAAAUGAAUCUGACCAGGAACCAUGAGGUUUCGGGUUCAAUCCCUGGCCUUGCUCAGUGGGUUACGGAUCCAGUGUUGCUGUGAGCUGUGGUGUACAUUGCAGACUGGCUCAGAUCUGUGGCUGUGGUGUAGGCCAGCAGCUACCGCUCCGAUUAGACCCUUAGCCUGGGAACUUUCAUAUGCCGUGGGUGCGGCCCUAAAAAGACAAAAGAAAAAAAGAAAAAAAAAAGAAAGAAAGGGAUUUAAGGAAAGGGAUUCCCAUUGUGGCUCAGGGGGGUUUAUGAACCGGACAAGUAUCCAUGAGGACAUGGGUUCAAUCCCUGGCUACACUCAGUGGGUUAAGGAUUUGGUGUUGCCUUGAGCUGUAGGUGUAGGUCACAGACGCAGCUCUGAUCCUGCCUUGCUGUGGCUGUGGUGUAGAGUAGCAGCUAAAGCUUCAAUUCGACCUCCUAGCCUGAGAACUUUCAUAUGUCGCAGGUGCGACCUUAAAAAGCAAAAGAAAAAAAAAAAGAAAAAGAUUUUAAAAUAGCCCAACUGAUUAAAAAUAAAAACAUACUAAAAUGUCAAAACCCAGAUAAAAUGGCUAAAUUCUAGAAGAAUAUGAAAUAAUAAAAUUCAUGUAGGAAUAGAUAACUUGAAUAAAACAGACCAGUAUUAAAGAAUCUGGAAAGGUGACAACCACCAAUUAAAAAUACCAGGGGCAAAUGGUUUUAAAAGUGAGUUCCACUAAUCUCCUAAGGAAAUUAAUACCUAUUUUCCAUAACUUGCUCCAGAAAAAAGAAAAAAGCAUACACCUGGCUAGUUCCUUUUAUGAGGAUAAUAAAAUAUUAACUCCAAAUCUAGAGACAAAACAAGUAAGAAAGGUACAGGCUUAGUUUUCACUUGCAAAAACUUCAAAUAUUACCUCACUCAAUGUAUCAAAGAAAACAAGUGUAUCAAAGUGUAUCAAAGAAAACAAGAAAGUUAUGAUCAUGUAGAGCUUAUCACUGGAAAGCAAGAAUAUCUCAACUGCAUAAAAUUUAUAAACAUGUCACUACUGUAAUAAAAUUUUCAAUUUUAUUAACUGUGGAUAUUUAGAUCUUGAUCAACACUUAUUUAUGCUUUAAAAAAUAAAGCACUCCUACCAAACUAGGAAGAGAAAGUUAUUACUUUCUCAACAUGGUAAAAAAUUAUCUACCAAAACUUUCAGCAAGUAUUAUCCUAAAUGAGAGACUUUAUAUAUAUUCCCUUUAAAAAUUAAAUGAUGAUUGUGAUGACUGAUGUUGUGUAAUAGUGUAACAAAGCCCUAAUCAAUGUUAUUUACACAGAAGAGGUGUGAGAACUGGAAGAAAAGAGAAAAACUAUUAAUUUACAAAUGAUAUGGUCAUCUAAUAGUUUUUAAAAACUUAAUAUAGAAAGAGCUAAUAAAAGAGUUUAACAAAGUUCCUGGAUCUGAGAUUAACCAAUGAAUAGUCAUUAAUUUAUUUAUAUAGUACUUACUAUUUGUCAGGUACUAUUCUAGGAAUUGCACAAAUGUUAACACAUUUAAAAUUCUCCUAACCAUCCUAUAAGAUAAGUACUGUUAUUAUCCAUACUUUAUAUAAUGUAUAAGCUACCUGUCUAAGGUCAUAUUAUCUACUAUAUGAUAGAAUCAGGAUUUGGCCCUAGGCAUUCUUAACUUCUAUACCAGCAAUGUUAAUCAUAAAAUGUUACAUACAUCAUUUUCACAAUAGGGAAGAAAACACACACACACACACACACACCAAACCUUUAAAGGAUUUAAGAACUAAUCAAUAAUAUGUAAGACGUCUAUGAUGAAGACUGCAGCAUUCUAAUCACAUGAUUUAAAACAAACAGACAUUCCAUGCUCUUGGAUAGAACAAAUGAAUAUUACAAAGAUAACUUUUUCAAAAUUAAUUUAUACAAUCCCAGCAUCUUAAGAAUAAAAUUCUACAUAUAGCUAAACCAACUAUUUAAGCAGAAAAGUAAAGGUUCUUGGCCUACAAGAUAUUAACACAUAUUAUAGAAGCCACAGAAAUUAAAACAAGGUGGAGUCAGGGUAAAAAAAAAUAGUCUGAUGGAACAAAGCUUGGAAAUGGAGCCACAUAAAAUUUUGGGAUGUAGUAAACAGUAAAGUUAGCACUCACAUCAAGAGGGAGUGAAUGCCUUUGGUACAUAACAUUGGUAAGACUGUCUCAUUAUAUGAAGAAAAAUAAAGCUGCAUACCUAUAUAAUGCCAUAUACAAAGGAAGACUCACGAUUGAUUAAAGGCCUAACUGAGAACUGUAAAACUCUGUAUAGUUAAUAGAAUAUAAUGCAGGAGGGUAUCUUUGUGACUUAGAUCCAGAGAACUUCUUAAAUAAAAAAACAUAAAGCCCAAGACCAAAAUAUGAUGAAUUCAAUCACAUCAAAAAUAAAGUUAACUAUAAAUCAACAGCAACAACAACAAAAGGCAGCAAUUUCAAUAAAGAAAGGGGGCGAAGGACAAAAAUAUCCACUUUAGAGAAGAGAAAAUCCACAGGCUAUAACUGUAUGACAAGAUAUAGCACAUUAUUCUAUCAUUUUGGUAAAAAUUAGAAAGCUGGACAAUGCCACGUGUUAGCGAGGGGACUAAAGGAUCUCCUUCAGGAACCAGCACUGCUGGUGGGAUUAUAGAUUUGGGGAGCCUUUCCAAAGAGCAAUGGGGCACCACGACUUAGCCAAAAUAACUUCUUUGUCCAUUUCAUGAUCCAGCAAUUCUACUCUUGGGUAUAUAUAGCAGAGAAAUUCUCUGUAAGACCAACAGGUACUCUAAAGCUUCCUCUUUGAUGGUAAAGAAUUAGAAGCAUUCUCGGUUUCCAUCGCUGGAGGAGUGGAUAGGGAACUUGUGGUUAAAGCACAUUGUAAGUAUACAGAGCAUCAAGGAUGGAUUAAAGGCACCAGUCUAAAUGAUGAAACAAAACCCAAAUAGCAACACCCCAAUUAUGCCAUUCUGUAAGGAUGAUUUCCAAAACGAAAGUCGGUAAAACAUUUCUAGUUUCAAAUAUACGAGGUCAUAGGGUAUGGUAUUGUGUCAGUCAUAUUCCUCAAAAGAAUAUUUCUCUGGCUUCUUAUUCUUCUAUUUAAUUCUGCUGUCAGCAGUACCUGGCAUAUAUUAGCAGCUUUAAGCAAAUUUUUUGAAAAAAUUAAUGAGAGAAUGAUGAAGGCCUGCUGUAAUUACCUAUUCAAGGAUGUCUUGCUUUUAUUCUAGGGAUACAGAAAUUUCCAGGUUAUAUUCAGGUGAUUUGGCAAUAUGUUGUACAAAGGCAAAUGAAACAACUUUUUCUUAAAAAAAAAUCAACAAGGAUAAUGCUACUAAAGCAAGAUAAAGGGAGCUGCUCAUAAUUGCAUCUUUAAGAACAUGAAAUGCAAACACUUUCAAAAGUUUAUAUUACAUAGUUCAAUCUGAAAAGAGGAAAUUUAAAAUGUACCAUAGGUAUUUCACUGAGACAAGAGUUGUUAGCUUGUUUCUGUCCUCUUAUAUUUUUUACUAUUUUCCUUUCAACCAGAUUCUAUUUCCAAGAUUAUUAUAGGCUGCACUUCAGUUAUUGUGUUACUCAUAGCAUUCUCUAAAAGGCUCACUCUACUUUUUUUUUUUAGUAGAAAUGACAGUUUCUUUGAAAGCAUACGUAAAUUCUAGAGUGAACCCAUCACUGUUGCUGCUUUACAUUCCAUGUGCAUAAUGUCCUCAUAUCAACAGUGAAUUUAUCAUUUACUCUAUAUAGUCCCAAGUAUAAUUCACCUUGAAUGAUUUUUCUGUAACUUCAGAAAUAUCCUUGCCAUAUACAUUUUUUAGUUUGCUUAGUUUAGUUGCUACCAUUUGUUCUUUUUCUCCAUAGCAUUAAAAGAAAGUAAGUCAAGACACAGGUAAUCCAAAGGCAGUGUGUAAGUUUAAGUUUAAUAUAGCAUCUUUUUUUUUUACCAGUUUUAUUGAGGUAUGACUGACAAAUUGCAUAUAUUUAACAUGUACAAUGUAAUAUUUUGAUAUAUGUAUUCAGCGUGAAAUGAUUACCACAAUCAGGCUAAGUAACGUAUCUAUCACUUCACACUUUAUUUUGCAUGUGAUAACACUAGAGAUCUACUCUCAACAAAUUUUAAGUAUACGUAAUUAUAAACUAUAGUCACCAUGAUGCACAUCGAGUCUCCAGAAAGUCUGUGCGCUUUGAUAAACAUCUCCCUUUUCCUCCACCCCCCAGCCACUGAUAACUCCCAUUCUACUAUUACUAUGAAUUCACCUUUUAAGAUUCCACAUAGAAGUGGGAUCAUACAGUAUUUGUCCUUGUGUUCGUUUUCCUUAGCAGAAUGGCCUCCUGGUUGACCCGCGUUGUUGCAAAUUGCAGGAUUUCCUUAUUUUUUAAGAGUUAAUUGUGUGUGUAUAUAAAUAUCACAUCUUCGUUAUCCAUUCAUUCAUUGACGGGUGCUUAGAUUAUUUCCAUACUUUGACGACUGUGAAUAAUGCUGCAACAAAUAUGAGCAGAUACAUUUUUGAGAUAGUGACUUUAUUUCCUUUGAAUAUAUACUUAGAAGUGAGAUUUAUAUGACAGUUCUAUUUUUACUUUUUUGAAGAACCGCCUAUUAUUUCCCGGCAAUAUGUUUAAAGAUCCUCUUUCCUCUACAUCCUCACCAACACUUGUUGUCUUCUGACUUUUUGUGAAGUCAUCCUGAUAGGUGUGAAGCAAUGCCUUAUUAUGGUUUGAUUUGCAUUUCCCUGAUGUCUGGUAAUGUUGAACACCUUUUCAUAUACCUCUUGGCCAUUCAUAUGUGUUCUUUGGAAGAACGUCUACUCAGAUCCUUUGCUCUCUCUCUCUCUUAAGGGCCACACCUGCGGCAUAGGGAAGUUCCCGGGCUAGAGGUUGAACUGAAGCUGCACCUGCCGGCCUAUGCCAUAGCCACAGCAACACCGGAUCCGAGCUGCAUCUGUGACCCACACUGCAGACUGUGGCGAUGAUGCAUCCUUAACUACUGAGUGAGGCCAGGGAUCCAACCCACAUCCUCAUAGAAACUAGUUGGGUUCUUAACCCACUGAGCCACUCCUUUUGCUCAUUUUUUAUUCUUUUUUUUUUUUUUUUUUUUUGCUACUGAAUUGAGUCCUUAUAUACUUUCUGAUAUUAAGCCCGUAUGGGAUAUACGGUUUGCAAAUAUUUUCUCCCACUCCAAAGGCUGCCAUUUUUGUAAUCUAGUAUCUUUUUUUUUUUUUUUUUUACUUCUCAAGAUAUAGUGCUGGGACAAACACGUUAUUAAUCUCUCCACCUCCAAAGCUAAUCAAACAUAGUUAGGCUGACCUCUGGUGGCCAGAUAUCUCAUCCUUCAGUAUCUGACGAAAUGGUAUGAAGGUACGUCUCAUUUGUGGGGUGACAGCCAAAUAAAAUAUGGUAAAGAAAAUACUCCUGUU
This 8431-nucleotide long non-coding RNA is filed under the name Sus scrofa (pig). RNAcentral describes it as "lncRNA (ENSSSCG00035067279.1)". The record is from RNAcentral. Lineage: Eukaryota; Metazoa; Chordata; Mammalia; Artiodactyla; Suidae.